CACCACCACCAUUUUGUAUCUCUGGCAGCAUCCCUCUACCCCGAUUGUUACUCUAUUUGUUCACUGAAUCCAGCUCAGUGCUAAUGAUUUCAAAUUCAAACAAUCUGUGUUUUCCGUUCUCCAAGAUUUUAUAUCUGUAUCAACAUCUUUGGUGUUUUGUUUUAUUGAUUUGGCUGAGAAGGGAAUGGAGCUACACGCAACCUAUUUGGUGAUGAAUUGCCCAGAUUGAUGAGCAAUUUGAGUUUUUGAAGGAUUUAGAAAGUUGGGGUUCUUCUCAAUCUCAAGUGUUAAAGCUAGAAAUCAGUGGAGAAGGAUACAUGUAUAUAUAUGAUUGAACAGAAUUUGAGCCACUUGAAACCCAUUUUGUCUGCUCAUCCGCUUGGCUUUAACAACUGAAAAUGGAAGUUCAUCCAAAUAUUUGUAUGUCAUCCAUGGUCCAUGCGAUAUCUUGAUUUCUGGGUUCGACUGCUUCAUGCAUUGGCUAAGAAAGCUGUUGGAGGAAGGAUUGUACCUCUGCUACUAAAAACUCAAAGGCUUAGGACGACAAAGCUCAGAAGUUUUCUGCCCACAUACAAAACGUAGCAGCCUCGUUUUCCCAAUAGAUAUGCACCGUGCUUCCUUGUUCAAUGUGAUUCCUUUUGCAAAUUCUGCUGAAGUCUCCAGCAUUGGGGCAAUCUAGAAGGAAAGAGUCCUGGUUGCCUCCUAAAUUUCUAAGCUUGAUUUUGUAUGUCUCGGACCUAGGAGGCGCAUCUGUUUUGGGCCUUUUAUAGAAAUUUCUAUCUUGAAUGUUAAGGUGCUGAACCACUCCUUUGGUAAAUGUAACCCGUAAUCAAGAUCAGAAAUGGCGAGUGUCUUGGAGAAAACGUCCAUGAAGGGUGGGAACUCGACCUUGACAGUGUUCAAUGUUCGCUCUCCAUCUUUAUCUUCUGUUGCCUGAGAAGUGUAGACGAUAACUGGUCCUCCAAUCAUGAUUCGCUGUGCUUCCGCUGACUUGUAUAAACUGUCCCUUAAUAAACUCCUUGUUUGUUCUGUAGUUUUUGUUUCCCCGUACCAUGAAUUUGGACCCCAUUGUAAUAAGUAAUCGAUGGCUUCCUGUUUUGCACAGCCGAUGCAGGCAUAUGAAUCUCUAAUUGUCACGGAUCGAGACUCAUUUAUCUGAGUGAUAGUGAAGUCGCUUCCUGGAGUCUCAUCUGGUGUAAUCAGGAGAAAUGUAGUUCUGUCUUCAGGGUUUUCAUCGAAACGAAGAGCCUUUUUACUUAAUUCAUCUUCGAUAAAAUCGGUUAAAUACUUAAGAGUGACUUGUUCCUUCUUGUCGAACUUUUCUUGAGUAGAAUCAAGUAACUUGGUGCAGAUGUCUUUGGAUGUCUUGGCGUUGCCUGUUGCACCAAGGAUGAAAUAGCAGCAUCUGUAGAUUUUUCUUCCUUUUAUCUCACCUGUAAAUAUGGA
Papaver somniferum (opium poppy) is the source of this 1446-nucleotide long non-coding RNA. RefSeq lists it as uncharacterized. The transcript is spliced from 4 exons. NCBI's taxonomy places the organism in Eukaryota, Viridiplantae, Streptophyta, Magnoliopsida, Ranunculales, Papaveraceae. The record is from RefSeq and is a predicted model, not a curated record.